This 272-nucleotide ribosomal RNA is filed under the name uncultured bacterium. Its description in RNAcentral is "partial 16S ribosomal RNA". It matches the Rfam family "Bacterial small subunit ribosomal RNA", at positions 337 to 623 of the family's 1533-position model. The record is from RNAcentral.
UCCUACGGGGGGCAGCAGUGGGGAAUAUCGCACAAUGGGCGAAAGCCUGAUGCAGCAACGCCGCGUGAAGGAAGAAGGGUUUCGGCUCGUAAACUUCUAUCAACAGGGACGAAAGAAAUGACGGUACCUGAAUAAGAAGCUCCGGCUAACUACGUGCCAGCAGCCGCGGUAAUACGUAGGGAGCGAGCGUUGUCCGGAAUUACUGGGUGUAAAGGGAGCGUAGGCGGCAGGGCAAGCCUGAUGUGAAAGCCCGGGGCUCAACCCCGGGACUG